This 451-nucleotide ribosomal RNA is filed under the name uncultured bacterium. RNAcentral's name for it is "partial 16S ribosomal RNA". It matches the Rfam family "Bacterial small subunit ribosomal RNA", at positions 354 to 796 of the family's 1533-position model. The record is from RNAcentral.
GUGGGGAAUAUUGGACAAUGGGGGGAACCCUGAUCCAGCCAUGUCGCGUGUGUGAAGAAGGCCUUUUGGUGGUAAAGCACUUUAAGCGAGGAGGAGGCUACGGAGAUUAAUACUCUUGGAUAGUGGACGUUACUCGCAGAAUAAGCACCGGCUAACUCUGUGCCAGCAGCCGCGGUAAUACAGAGGGUGCAAGCGUUAAUCGGAUUUACUGGGCGUAAAGCGCGCGUAGGUGGCCAAUUAAGUCAAAUGUGAAAUCCCCGAGCUUAACUUGGGAAUUGCAUUCGAUACUGGUUGGCUAGAGUAUGGGAGAGGAUGGUAGAAUUCCAGGUGUAGCGGUGAAAUGCGUAGAGAUCUGGAGGAAUACCGAUGGCGAAGGCAGCCAUCUGGCCUAAUACUGACACUGAGGUGCGAAAGCAUGGGGAGCAAACAGGAUUAGAUACCCUUGUAGUCC